This 301-nucleotide ribosomal RNA is filed under the name uncultured bacterium. RNAcentral's name for it is "partial 16S ribosomal RNA". It matches the Rfam family "Bacterial small subunit ribosomal RNA", at positions 509 to 808 of the family's 1533-position model. The record is from RNAcentral.
CAGUCGCCGCGGGAAUACAGAGGGUGCAAGCGUUAAUCGGAAUUACUGGGCGUAAAGCGCGCGUAGGUGGUUUGUUAAGUUGGAUGUGAAAUCCCCGGGCUCAACCUGGGAACUGCAUCCAAAACUGGCAAGCUAGAGUAUGGUAGAGGGUGGUGGAAUUUCCUGUGUAGCGGUGAAAUGCGUAGAUAUAGGAAGGAAAACCAGUGGCGAAGGCGACCACCUGGACUGAUACUGACACUGAGGUGCGAAAGCGUGGGGAGCAAACAGGAUUAGAUACCCCUGUAGUCCCGUCUCUUAUACA